This 1656-nucleotide long non-coding RNA is filed under the name Marmota monax (woodchuck). The record is from RNAcentral. Lineage: Eukaryota; Metazoa; Chordata; Mammalia; Rodentia; Sciuridae.
AAGAGAAAGAGGAGAGAAAGACAGUAUAAGAUAAUAUUAGAUAAUGAUAAGGGCUGUAAAGGAAAUAAGCAAGGUGUAUCAGUCAGCACUUGCUGCAUAACAAAGUACUCCAAAAUUCAAUAAUUAUUUAUUUAGCUCAUAAUCCUAUAAAUUACUAUUUAAACUGGGCUCAACUGGUCAGUUCUUCUGGUCUUGCUAGUCCAGGUGUCUUUGAUUAAGUAACUGGUUGAUUAGCGGCCAGCUGUCCAGAAUGAACUUAGCUCUAGUCCAUGUCUAAUGAAAAUGAGAACUGCUGAAAAAAAAAACUUCAUGCUUUCAGUGGCCUUUUGGGGCAAGAGAGAGGAAAGGGAAUCAGCAUUUUCACAUUGUACUAUGUUGCUCUUCUGCUACCUGCUAGGAAGUCUUUUACUUAAUAUAUGCCUGUCCUGCAGAUGUGUGCACAGGAUGUGGAACACAAAUGCCCCUCCCCCAGCUGGCUAUCCUGGGUUUGAAUACAUGGUGGUGUUAAGGUUCUGGAGACAGUAAAAAUAGACAAGGAAUCCCAGUGUCUGGGUUCAGAACUGGCACACCUCCACUUCUGUCACAUACAAGCAAGUUACAGAUCAGUCCAGGUCAAGGGGUAGGGAAAUGGACCGUAUCUCUCAAUGGAAAAACCAAGUCCAUCCAAAAGGGUACAGGUAAAGGGAGAGUAUUAAUUAGAGCCACCAACAAAAUGAAUCUACCAUCCAGGGCAAUGUCAUGGAGGGUGGCUGUGGGGUGGGAAAGAGAAGGGUGGAACUACUUCACGAGGAACAAGAGGUCUUUCUGAGGAGGUGGCGUGUGUGUGUGUAUGUGUGUGUGUGUGCAUAAACACAUGUAUGCAAUGAAGGAAUAAGGGAGAGGAAGAAUAGAUAUUCAGUAGCUUGAACAAAGGGGAAUGAAAGGAAGGGAGGGGGAUCGGAAAAGGAAAGACAGUGGAAUGAAUUUCAAAUAAUUUUCCUAUGUAUACAUAUGAAUGCACCAUAGUGAAUUCUACCAUCAUAUACGUCCACAAGAAUGGGGUCCUAAUUAGAAUAAGAUAUAGUCCAUGCUUGUAUAUUUAUAUCAAAAUGGAUUCUAUUGUCAUAUAUAACUAUAAAGAACCAAUUUUUAAAAAGGAAUAAGGGAGACAAAAGAAAGCAGAGGAAGAUAUCUCUACUGAUGGAGGAAAGGAAGCUACAAGGCUUCGAGAAGUUGCUUACAAUGACAGUAGUGAGCAAUACUUCAACAGGUUGCAUGAAAGCCUGUGAAGAGGAAAUGAUAGGAGAAAGGAGACAAUAUCCUAGGAAGAGUGAACAACCUGAGGAGGAGGUAGGAAGUGGUUUUCAUUUUAUUUAAUUUGGAGAAGAGGUAAAAUGAGUAGGGGGAGGAAGAUCUUCCAGAGAAAAGAGCACUUCAAAGAAUAUCUGUUAUAGUGAACUUUGGAGGGAUCAGGAGUUUUUAUGAGCAAGACAUUGUAAGAAGAAAAGAAAGACAAUUAAAAACUCCAGGAAAAACAAAAGGCCAUAUAAGAUGGUCAUUGUAACACUGUUUAUUAAUGUUGAUCAAAAUACUAAAUAAAAUUAUAUUAUGGCAGAAGUAAAUUAUCAAUGGCUAAAACUGAUUGCCAAAAUACACAUCUAAAAUAAUUGUUCAAAC